Carcharodon carcharias (great white shark) is the source of this 1421-nucleotide long non-coding RNA. RefSeq lists it as uncharacterized. The transcript is spliced from 2 exons. The record is from RefSeq and is a predicted model, not a curated record. Lineage: Eukaryota; Metazoa; Chordata; Chondrichthyes; Lamniformes; Lamnidae.
GCCCUAAAGCAACUCAAUAACAGAUUGAAGGAGGGACAGGCAGAUUCAUAUAAAAAGAACAGCGGUUAAAAGUCAAAGUAGGAAUGGUAAUAUGGAUUCCCUUGGACAUUGAAGCUUCCAGAUGAUUGGCGGUUGCCAUGGGGAGAGAGGCAUUGACGUGAUAGCUGUGGGCGGGUCCUGCAGCACCCGACUGCUUUAACCCCAGAGACAGCGGCACCACAGCAGCACCAAAUAUCUCGUUGGUGCGUGGUACACAGCCCACCACAAUUAUUGCCGUCCUCGUUCAGAGACAGAUAUAUUCCUCACAUUUUUUUCAAUCACUGUGGAGGAGCCAGGCUUCAAAUCUUCACAAGGAAAGCUCCCUGAAUUCAGCUGGAGGGUUCAAGGCCACCGGACCACUACGUAUAUCCGCGGUGCAUCAAUUCACGCUUACCUUAUAAGAAUGAUUUUCCUUAAUUUGCCCUUAACAUGUUCAUGUUUGUCGGACUGUAAUGCUAAUACAUUAUUUAAACAGCAGAGAUGAAAGAAGUGCGAAGGUUGGGGGUCUUAAGUAAAAGCAAUGUUGGAAAUACACAGCAUUCAAGUCAGGCAGAAUCUAAAAAGAUAGAAAGGUUAAUAUUUCAGGCAGAUCUCAAAUAUGCUGACAGGCUUGCUGUAUAUUUCCAGCCUAAUGGCAUAUCAUUUCUCUAUUAUAACAAUACCUGUCGAAUUAUUAAGAUUAAAUAAAAUGCUUUGGCAGCGAAUACCUAAUUUGUGAGUACAUUGAUACAUGCGAUGUUUCCAAUAGUGUGUCCUUUGUAUUAGUAAAACGCCAGUUGGGAUUCCGUGCAGCUGUGUCUAUUGUCAAGUUUAUCAAAUUCCAUCCGCUUGCAGUAAGCUAUUUCGUUCCCGGUAUGAUCCCUGGUGACACGGAAAACAUUGCUGGACUGCAGAUUGCGUUAUAUUUGGAAUUUUGGUAAAAGGUCCCUCCUAAAACAACCAGUCUUUGUCACAUACUAACUAACCUGCUAUGUUUCUAUAUACCAUUUUCUGUUUUUGUUUCAGAUUUCUAUGAAUCGCAUUUCUCAGUAUUUUUUUCUACCGGAGAUUUCGUCUUUUUAAUGGGUACUUCCCCUCCUUGACCUAAAUUCAUAAAAUAAUUUGACAAUUAUUAUCAUUUGUUGCUUGGAGUUUACACGUUAUUCCCAUUUUUCGACCUGUUUUGAAAAGAUGUUCCUGAAAUUAAUCAAACCUGUGACAAACUGUUGUCUUUCGCGAUGCAUCAUUUUUCCAAGUAUACCUUUCAAUUUUGUUUGAGUUAAAAAUUAAACUGGGAAGAUCAUUUUGUAGCAAAUUAGAAAGAGGAAUACGGCAUUCAGUUGAGUAUUUUGAUUGCUGUUGUACAACCACUCAGAAAUCCUCAAUAAACAAUUGUUUUUCAA